AUGAGAUAGGUGUUCAAAUCCAAAUCUUUUUUCAUAAGUUAAAACAAGUGCGUAAAAUAUUUUGAAUUGUACAAAAUUAUACCAAUAUGACAAGAAAAAAUAUUUAAAACAGUAAUUAGACUUUUUACAUUCUUAACAACGAAUAAAAUGAGCAAUAAUAAAGCUAUUUUGAGCAAAACUCAACUAGUGAACACGAACACGAUCAAUAAUAACAAUAACAAAGAUCGUCAUCAUCAUAGCGGUGUUAUUCAAAAAAAUGAGGAGCUAGUAACAGAAAAGCAUUAUGGCUGUUAUCGUGUCGGAGUCUUAAUUUCACUAUUAAUAGUUCUCAUACUUAUUUUGGGAUGUACUCCUGUUUUUGUCGGAUCUGCUGACAGUAAACUUAUUUUAACAGUAUUAAUAGUAUGCAUGAUAGUGGCUGGUUUAUUAACUUUUGCAUAUUUUGAAUACCUAAGACGUCGUGCUAUACUAAUGCGCCAAAAUAGUAUACGAGGAACUUACACAACGAUAGAACGAAAAUCUAAAGAACAAGAGAAGUACGUCAGUAUCAAAAGGAAGCAGGGAGAAAAAUUAAAAAGUUUAACAACUACAACGAAAUAUUCCCCAGUGUAGCCGAUGCCAAUCAAAUUUGUGUCCUGUGCAAUUUAAAAUUUUAACAAAAAAACAUAGUU
This is a long non-coding RNA of Culicoides brevitarsis, 671 nucleotides long. RefSeq lists it as uncharacterized. The record is from RefSeq and is a predicted model, not a curated record. Lineage: Eukaryota; Metazoa; Arthropoda; Insecta; Diptera; Ceratopogonidae. The transcript is spliced from 3 exons.